AAUAUUUGACAAUGGGAGAAAGCCUGAACCAGCCAUCCCGGGUGCGUGAAUAAGGUCGUCGGACUGUAUAGCACCCUAAGUUGGGAGGGAGGGCACUAAGUUAAUACCUUUCUGAUUGGACGUUACCGACAGAAUAAGCACCGGCUAGCUCCGUGCCAGCAGCCGCGGUAAUACGAAGGGUGCAAGCGUUAAUCGGAAUUACUGGGCGGAAAGCGCGCGUAGGUGGUUUGUUAAGUUGGAAGUGAAAGCCCCGAGCUCAACCGGAGAACUGCUUUAAAAACUGGCAAGCUAGAGUAUGGCAGAGGGUGGUGGAAUUUCCUGUGUAGCGGUGAAAUGCGUAGAUAUAAGAAGGAACACCAGUGGCGAAGGCGACUACCUGGACUGAUACUGACACUGAGGUGCGAAAGCGUGGGGAGCAAAC
RNAcentral lists this ribosomal RNA (421 nucleotides) under uncultured bacterium. RNAcentral describes it as "partial 16S ribosomal RNA". It matches the Rfam family "Bacterial small subunit ribosomal RNA", at positions 360 to 773 of the family's 1533-position model. The record is from RNAcentral.